Molecule: unclassified non-coding RNA, 4006 nt
Filed under: Apis dorsata (giant honeybee)
Lineage: Eukaryota; Metazoa; Arthropoda; Insecta; Hymenoptera; Apidae
Description: tropomyosin Per a 7.0102, transcript variant X6
Source: RNAcentral
AAAAAAAUAAACUCAACCGGUUUUCAAAGGUGAAAACCCAUAAUUCUUAUCAAACAAUGUGCUGUUACCGACAGAGUAAUGACGUUUAAGCGCCAUAAGAUGUCGCAGCAAUCGUGCGCAAGCGCCUCACGAGGGAUGAGUAGAUUCCUCGCGAAGUAAGCGCACAGUCGAGCGUUAGUACGCGAAGCUGCCGUUUCGUUUGUUCGGCGGUUCUCGGCAAACUUCGGUUUCAUAUUGUAAUUGACGGGUAGUAGGGGUAACCUGGAUCGAGCAUAGAGUAAUAGACGGAGAAAGAGAGAGAGAAAGCAAGAUAGAAAUCAGACCAGGACGGUGCAGUGAGCGGAGACCAGCGUGUCUCCUCUCGUGCAUGCGUUCGCUUGUCAGGACUGUGUGUGUGUGUUCAACACAAAGAAAGAGACAAAAAGACGUAUGCGUGGCGCGGUGAGAAACGUGUUACGAACAGUGACAGACAAGAUGGCGGUGUACUUUGUGCAGUGGUAGUAAUAGUGGUGCGUAGAGCACAUUAAAAAGAGUAGUGGAACGAAGGGGGUUAGUUAAGGGUUGGCAGCUGGUUAGUAUGGAACCAGCUCUGACGUCGACCACGAGACGUCGCGGUCAUCAACAUCAUCCGCGACAUGCUACGCGCCGACGUCUCGACGCCUCCAGCAGAGGACCCGCGCAGUGUGGCCCUGCUGAUAUCGUUAAAGAUACGGCGAUCAGAAACAACGAAACAUCAACAACUACAACGUCACCGAAGCUUGAUGAAAAAAGCAAUGUCAUCGAUACAAAAUGUUCCACUGCGGUGACAGUGCCCACAAUCGGCACGAGGUGGCUUCGUGAUCCGACGGCCACAGUGUCCACGAAAGAUGUAACAUCGAAUGAAGAUUCUAACAAGAUAAAAUAUAAUCUUGAACAUGAUAGAGAAGAAAACAUCCGUCAUAGGCUCGCGCAGUGUAGCCUGGAUGUUCUUGACGAACGACACGAACAAUUUGUUCGUAAAAGAAAUGAAAAUGAAAGCUUUGAUAGUUAUAAAAUGGAAAAAGUAUUGGAUAAUUCUGAAUCAAAAUCAUGUGGGAAUGAAAUAUGUGAAAAUAAAUCUGAUGAAGAAAAGAGAAACAAAGAAAAUUCGCCAGAGCCUGAGCACGCGGUCGCGAGGGCUCGCGGUGAUGGAAACUCUGACGACGAAUCAACUAAUGUCGAGGAGGAUCCUGAACUUGCUGAACUUGCUAAAUUGAGAUGUCCUAGCGAAAGAACCGAGGUACAAGCUGAAAGAGAAGCUAAAAGAAGAAAAAGAUGCGCUGAUUAUCCUGGAUUAGCCUUUGGAUGGUCUAUAUUCUCCAGCGAUACAAUGAUGAAAUUCGGUCUCAUAAGGAACGAAUUGCAGAAUAUUAUGGGAAACCAGCUAAAACGGGCUGAGUCCGAAGUAGCCGCUCUGAAUCGUCGUAUCCAAUUGUUGGAGGAGGAUCUCGAGAGAUCGGAGGAACGCCUUGCAACGGCCACUGCUAAAUUGGCAGAGGCGUCGCAAGCAGCGGAUGAGAGCGAACGGAUACGCAAGGCACUCGAAAACCGUACCAAUAUGGAAGAUGACCGGGUAUCCCUGCUGGAGCAGCAGCUAGCACAGGCUAAAUUGAUCGCCGAGGAGGCGGAUAAAAAAUACGAGGAGGUCGCCCGUAAAUUGGCCAUGGUUGAGGCCGAUCUAGAACGUGCCGAGGAACGUGCCGAAGCUGGAGAGUCGUCGCCAGAAAACUAGUCAUGAUGGAACAAGAUCUCGAGCGCGCCGAAGAGAAGGCAGAACUUUCAGAAGGGAAGAUCGUUGAGCUCGAGGAAGAAUUACGCGUAGUUGGCAACAAUCUGAAAUCCCUCGAGGUCUCCGAAGAGAAGGCGACACAGAGAGAGGAGACUUUCGUGGGCCAGGUGAAGAUAUUGGAUAGUCAAUUGAAAGAGGCUGAAGCUCGUGCCGAGUUCGCGGAAAGAUCGGUGCAGAAAUUGCAGAAGGAGGUCGACAGGCUCGAAGACGACCUUGCCGCCGAGAGAGAGAAAAACAAAUUGCUGCAGGAGGAGAUGGAGGCCACCCUGCAUGACAUCCAGAACAUGUAGAUCAUGUCUCGCGGCUGAUAGAAAGACGAGAGAGAGAAAGAGAGAGAGAGAAAAAUAGAUAUAGAUAACAAAAAAAAAGAAACAAAACAGAAACGUUCAAACAAAAGCAUACGCUGAUACUAGGAAUAUACGAUUCCUUUGAAAUUAAAGGAACAAACAGAAAAGUAAAUAAAUAAAGUAAAAACGCAUGGAACACGUAUUCGAAAGGGAUGAGGGAAUCGGAGAAUGAAAUGAAUGAAAUCGAAUUAAACGUGGAAAGUUAAAAAAAAAAAAAAAAAAAAAAACAAGAGAAGGGGGAAAUAUGAUAAAGGAAAAAUAUCGUUGAAAAAGUAAAGUACACGCUGUGCGAUGUGAGCGCUUUUGUGUGUGGUGCACACUAUCAACGAAACGAUAAAAAAAGAAGAAUGAACAAAAAAAAAAGAAAAAAAGUCUCAUACAGUCUCUUUUAGGCUAGAUUCACACAUCUACCAUUGUAAACGCCCAUCUCAAACAAGCGCCCCGGUUAUGCAAUUCUUUUUUCGUGUGUGUAUGUGUGUGAUGCAUGUGUGUUAUAUGCUGCUGUUGCUGUCGCUAUUGUUGCGUGUAUGUGUGUUUUGCGUGCGCGAGAAAUCGAGGGAAACCAGACGACAUAUAGGUAGAAAAAAGAAGAAACAAUGGAUAUUCCAGUAUAAAGUGUAAAGUAUAAAAAGAUAGAGCGUGCGGUUUGUCAAAGGGAUUUGAAGUUAUUUCCCUUUUUUAAUCCGUUCCUUUUCUUUUCUUUUUUUUUUGAAGUUUUUUGUACGUUUGUUGUCCAAACGACUGUUUUUUUUUUUUUUUUUUUUUUGAAAUUUUUUGUACGUUUGUUGUCCAAACGACUGUUUUUUUUUUUUUUUUUCUUUUAACGCUACGUUUUAGUUUCAAUCGAUUUGGUCAUUAACAAAUGCUAAUGAUUUCUAAUGCGAUCCCUAAAACCGUUUCAACGAACGACAAAUAUUGUAAAGAAAGAUCGUGAAUAAAAGAAUAGGAGACAAAGAAUAAUUAAAAACGGUAAUCGAUCAAAGUCUAAUGGAAUACAUCGAGGAAGAAUUUUCAAUUCAAUUCAGUCUGCCAAGUAUUUUCUGCUAGUUACGUUCUGCCUAUCGCGUAUCGUGGUCUCGGGGAAAAUUCGAUCUUCUGCGGUUCACAUCCGGUUCAAUUCGGAUCACAACUGAUCCCUGAUAUUUAUAUCAUUCUAUAUCUUGAAUUAAUAUGUUUUGUCGAAAACAUAAUUCUUUUACAUCAUAGUUAUUAUUAUUAUUAUUUUUAAUGAAAUUGAAUUAAUUAACUCUUUAUUAGCAUAAAAUAAAAUUAAGAAGUGAGAUUUGUAAUAAAAUAAUACAAAUCAAAAGAAUACAAAUCUGCACUAAAAUUAAUGAAAUAUUUAAUAUCUGAGAAUAUCUUAGAUAUUAAUAAAAUUCAAUGAUAAUCAUAAUUAAAGAUUCCAAUAUAAUAUAUUGGAACAUUCUCAUAAGGAAUGUUUGACAGAUUUGACUAAAUAAGCAAAUUCUUCCUCAACGUAGUACCACGUUGUCGAUAAGAAAAAGAUGAACAGAAAAAAAUUGUUCGUCACUUUUCGUCAUUUACAUUCCAUAUUGCCUAUGGUUCAGCGUGAAAAAAAAUAUUCUUGGUCUUCUUCCAUGCUCGUUCGCGCACUGGUGAUACAAAGGUUUAAAGGCUUUUAAGAGACGCUCACUGCCAGCCAAAUGAUUCCUUUUGAGGGAUAAAUUCGAUAUUAAACUUGUGUUCGCGCGUGAUUCAUUCAAAAAAAGACCAUUAUUAUUGUAACUAGUUAAAAUUUAGAAUUUAGCGAGACAAGUCUUGUAGAAAUGAGAUCUAUAGAAAUUUUUUGUAUUUUUGUAUUUUAUACUCGUAGAAUUUUUAGCGUAUACGA